Molecule: ribosomal RNA, 497 nt
Filed under: uncultured bacterium
Lineage: Bacteria
Description: partial 16S ribosomal RNA
Rfam family: Bacterial small subunit ribosomal RNA
Source: RNAcentral
GAUGAACGCUGGCGGCGUGCCUAAUACAUGCAAGUCGAGCGGACGGACGAGAAGCUUGCUUCUCUGAUGUUAGCGGCGGACGGGUGAGUAACACGUGGAUAACCUACCUAUAAGACUGGGAUAACUUCGGGAAACCGGAGCUAAUACCGGAUGAUAUUUUGAACCGCAUGGUUCAAAAGUGAAAGACGGUCUUGCUGUCACUUAUAGAUGGAUCCGCGCUGCAUUAGCUAGUUGGUAAGGUAACGGCUUACCAAGGCAACGAUGCAUAGCCGACCUGAGAGGGUGAUCGGCCACACUGGAACUGAGACAGGGUCCAGACUCCUACGGGAGGCAGCAGUAGGGAAUCUGACGCAAUGGGCGAAAGCCUGACGGAGCAAGGCCGCGUGAGUGAUGAAGGUCUUCGGAUCGUAAAACCCUGUUAUUAGGGAAGAACAGAUGUGGAAGUAACUGUGCACAUCUUGACGGUACCUAAUCAGAAAGCCACGGCUAACUACGUG